GCCUUCGUGGUGUAAUUGCCAGCACACUAGACGCGUAUUCGAGAGGUCCGAGGUUCGAGUCCCGGCGAAGGCC
Stegodyphus mimosarum is the source of this 73-nucleotide non-coding RNA. NCBI's taxonomy places the organism in Eukaryota, Metazoa, Arthropoda, Arachnida, Araneae, Eresidae. The record is from Rfam.